GGCUCGGUGGUGGACGGUCCACACUCACAUCUGUUAAAAGUUGAACAUUAUUCUGCGAGAGGCGCCCGUUCGACUCGGGCUCGAGCCA
Molecule: non-coding RNA, 88 nt
Organism: Mycena polygramma
Lineage: Eukaryota; Fungi; Basidiomycota; Agaricomycetes; Agaricales; Mycenaceae
Source: the annotation of a GenBank genome assembly